This 1350-nucleotide ribosomal RNA is filed under the name metagenome. Its description in RNAcentral is "bacterial LSU rRNA". It matches the Rfam family "Bacterial large subunit ribosomal RNA", at positions 1564 to 2925 of the family's 2925-position model. The record is from RNAcentral.
UGAGUACGAGCUGCUACGGCAGCGAAGUGGGUGAUGUCAAGCUUCCAAGAAAAGCCCUAUACCCGUUAAGGCAUGAUGGCCUGUACCCGAAACCGACACAGGUGGGGUGGUAGAGAAUACCGAGGGGCGCGAGAUAACUCUCUCUAAGGAACUCGGCAAAAUGGCCCCGUAACUUCGGGAGAGGGGGUGCCACCGCAAGGUGGCCGCAGUGAAGAGGCCCAGGCGACUGUUUACCAAAAACACAGGUCUCCGCUAAGUCGCAAGACGAUGUAUGGGGGCUGACGCCUGCCCAGUGCCGGAAGGUUAAGGAAGCUGGUCAGCGUAAGCGAAGCUAGCGACUGAAGCCCCAGUGAACGGCGGCCGUAACGAUAACGGUCCUAAGGUAGCGAAAUUCCUUGUCGGGUAAGUUCCGACCGCACGAAAGGCGUAACGAUCUGGGCGCUGUCUCGGAGAGAGGCUCGGCGAAAUAGAAUUGUCUGUGAAGAUGCGGACUACGUGCACCCGGACAGAAAGACCCUAUGAAGCUUUACUGUAGCUUGGUAUUGUGCUCGGGCUCGGAAUGCGCAGGAUAGGUGGGAGGCUAUGAACCAUUGCUUGUGGGUGAUGGUGAGCCACUGGUGAGAUACCACUCUUUCCGAGCUAGAGUUCUAACAGCCACCCGUUAUCCGGGGGCUGGACAGUAUCAGGUGGGCAGUUUGACUGGGGCGGUCGCCUCCUAAAAGGUAACGGAGGCGCGCAAAGGUUUGCUCAGGCUGGUUGGAAAUCAGCCGACGAGUGUAAAAGCAGAAGCAAGCUUGACUGUGAGACCUACAAGUCGAACAGGGAGGAAACUCGGCUUUAGUGAUCCGACGGUUCUGCGUGGAAGGGCCGUCGCUCAACGGAUAAAAGUUACUCUAGGAUAACAGGCUGAUCUCCCCCAAGAGUUCACAUCGACGGGGAGGUUUGGCACCUCGAUGUCGGCUCAUCGCAACCUGGGGCUGAAGUCGGUCCCAAGGGUUGGGCUGUUCGCCCAUUAAAGCGGUACGCGAGCUGGGUUCAGAACGUCGUGAGACAGUUCGGUCCAUAUCCGGUGCAUGCGCAGGAAUAUUGAGAGGAUUUCUCCCUAGUACGAGAGGACCGGGAGGAACGCACCUCUGGUGUACCAGUUAUCGUGCCAACGGUAAACGCUGGGUAGCCAUGUGCGGAGAGGAUAACCGCUGAAAGCAUCUAAGUGGGAAGCCCACCUCAAGAUGAGUAUUCCCAUGGGGUAACCCAGUAAGGUCACGGGAAGAACACCCGUUGAUAGGCUCUACGUGGAAGCGCAGUAAUGUGUGAAGCGGAGGAGUACUAAUAGACCGAGGGCUUGACCCC